This 239-nucleotide unclassified non-coding RNA is filed under the name uncultured Hamatocanthoscypha. Its description in RNAcentral is "partial contains 5.8S ribosomal RNA, internal transcribed spacer 2, and large subunit ribosomal RNA". The stretch from base 1 to 52 matches the Rfam family "5.8S ribosomal RNA", at positions 103 to 154 of the family's 154-position model. The record is from RNAcentral. Lineage: Eukaryota; Fungi; Ascomycota; Leotiomycetes; Helotiales; Hyaloscyphaceae.
AACGCACAUUGCGCCCCGUGGUAUUCCGCGGGGCAUGCCUGUUCGAGCGUCAGUACAACACUCAAGCUCUGCUUGGUAUUGGGCCGCACCAGCAAUGGUGAGCCUUAAAAUCAGUGGCGGCGCCAUCUGGCUCUAAGCGUAGUAAUACUCCUCGCUAUAGGGUCCCGGUGGAUGCUUGCCAGCAACCCCAACUUUCUAAGUUUGACCUCGGAUCAGGUAGGGAUACCCGCUGAACUUAA